Molecule: small RNA, 118 nt
Filed under: unclassified sequences
Description: LOOT RNA
Rfam family: LOOT RNA
About the family: Latescibacteria, OD1/Parcubacteria, OP11, TM7. Lineage (Microgenomates, aka OP11)
Source: Rfam by way of RNAcentral
UGCCUAACCCUCUCAAAUUUUGUGAGGUAUGGCAAGAAAUCGUUCAGCAUACUAACCCCGUCAUAGGGCGUGCUGAACGUUGCAGACCGAAAGGUUUGUAUGCUACCGAAAGGUAGCA